UUAUAUUUUUAUCAGGAGCCAUGGUAUUUUUGCCACCUAGUCACACCGGUCCCACUGAGUCAACUGAAAAUGGACUCAGUUUUUCUAGUUGAAGUGCCUCUUCUGUCCGGUGUUGUCACCACCGCUCGCCGCCACUGUUACCGCCACCGCAUACCUUCCCUCAUGCUAAUUUCCUGUACUUCCUCUCAUUGGCUCCUGCGGAAUCAACGUUGUACAAAAGACACCGGUGCUGCAUUUUCCGUUUGCUUUGCUUCUACUGCUGAACUAUUCCCAAUGGAUUCGUUUUAUUAUGAAAUAAAUAAAACAAAUUACUCAAUAUGUUGACUGCAUUUUGUGCCUCAUAUGAAGUCAACAAAUGGAGUUUAUACCGUUGGUGACUAUUACCAGAGAGGAUUUUGCAUGUCGUGAAGCCUACUACACAUGUGGAUGAAGCUGCAGUAAACUGGAUAUGGAAGUCAUUAACUCUAUGAAGUCUUGCAGACUUUCAAACAGGUUCAGAAACUUCUGAACAAGACUAACGGGAAUUUGAUUGGCAAAUUAAUGAGCACCACAUCUAUGGUUGUUCAGGAGACCUCCAAUCUGAAAAGAUGCAGUGAUUGCUGCAAACAAAGUUUGGGCGACUACAAGUUGUAAAUGCUGGGGUUAAGCUGGUACCUGAUUUCUUUGAGUUGAAGGUUGAGAUUAUCACAAUAGGAAGAGUGUCGUAAGGGCAAUUCAAAGAAAACGCCAAACCAAAAUUGAAAGAACGAAAAUGAACAGAAAACCCAAACUAGAUAAGUAAUUCUUGCCUGCAGUGUCUACAUAUGCAACCAAUCAAAAGCUUGAUAGUAUUUGAAUAAUUGAAACCACAUUGAGUAGUAUAAAAUUAUCUAAAAUUAUGAGCACAGGUUAAUUUAAUUCUGAUAUUACAAAAAAAAAUAAAGACUAAAAUGACUGUCAUGGGUAGUUUUAUGAGCUAAAUUGGCUAAUAAUUUGGAUGGAUUAAUUUCCGUUUAUUGCUCACAUAUUUGUGCAAAAGUUUUAAGAAAAAAAUUAUUAUUUUAGUGUCGUCACAUGAUAAGUAGUGACUCGUGUAUAAAAACUAUAAGGGAUUUGAUGCAUCCUCAACUGGUUAAUAUUUACCUAUAUGUUAACAUAUAAAAAUAAAUGGCCAACUGUUAUUGUCAAACUUAUCAAUUCUGAUUAGUACAUGAAGAAACAGAUGUCAUAAAUCAUA
Molecule: long non-coding RNA, 1216 nt
Organism: Vigna angularis (adzuki bean)
Lineage: Eukaryota; Viridiplantae; Streptophyta; Magnoliopsida; Fabales; Fabaceae
Exons: 4
Source: RefSeq, a predicted model, not a curated record